This 526-nucleotide ribosomal RNA is filed under the name uncultured bacterium. Its description in RNAcentral is "bacterial SSU rRNA". It matches the Rfam family "Bacterial small subunit ribosomal RNA", at positions 353 to 896 of the family's 1533-position model. The record is from RNAcentral.
AGUGGGGAAUAUUGGACAAUGGGCGCAAGCCUGAUCCAGCCAUGCCGCGUGAGUGAUGAAGGCCUUCGGGUUGUAAAGCUCUUUCAGGUGGGACGAUGGUGACGGUACCACCAGAAGAAGCCCCGGCUAACUUCGUGCCAGCAGCCGCGGUAAUACGUAGGUGGCAAGCGUUGUCCGGAUUUACUAGGUGUAAAGGGCGUGUAGGCGGGACUGCAAGUCAGAUGUGAAAUUUGAAGGCUCAACCUUCAAACUGCAUUUGAAACUGCAGUUCUUGAGUGAUGGAGAGGCAGGCGGAAUUCCUAGUGUAGCGGUGAAAUGCGUAGAUAUUAGGAGGAACACCAGUGGCGAAGGCGGCCUGCUGGACAUUAACUGACGCUGAGGCGCGAAAGCGUGGGGAGCAAACAGGAUUAGAUACCCUGGUAGUCCACGCCGUAAACGAUGGAUACUAGGUGUGGGGGGUCUGACACCCUCCGUGCCGGAGUUAACACAAUAAGUAUCCCACCUGGGGAGUACGAUCGCAAGGUUG